This 1297-nucleotide ribosomal RNA is filed under the name Piophila casei. RNAcentral describes it as "16S ribosomal RNA". The stretch from base 599 to 1297 matches the Rfam family "Archaeal large subunit ribosomal RNA", at positions 1423 to 2854 of the family's 2987-position model. The record is from RNAcentral. Lineage: Eukaryota; Metazoa; Arthropoda; Insecta; Diptera; Piophilidae.
UUAUAAUUUAAUAUAUUAAAAAUAAUUGUAAUAUUUAAUGUUUAAGUAUUUUAUAAAGAAUAAAUAAUUUUAAUAAUAGUGUAUUAGUAUUGUGAAAGAAAAUUGAAAUAAUUUGAAAAAUUUUUAUUUUAAAAGAAAAUUUAAUUUAUUGUACCUUGUGUAUCAGGGUUUAUUAAAUAAAAAAUAAUUAUUUAUUUUUCUCGAUUUUAAAAGAGUUAAUAAGUUAUAAAAGUUAAUGUAGCAAAAUUAUUUUUAAUAACUUAUUAGAAAUGAAAUGUUAUUCGUUUUUAAAGGUAUCUAGUUUUUUUAGAAAUAAAUUUAAUUUAGAAAUUUUAAAUUUAUUUAAUUAGUUAUAUUAGUUAAAUAAUUUUUUAAUUUUAAUAUUCUAUGGGAUAAGCUGUAGAAUAAAAUUUUAUAAAUAAUAAAUAAUUUAAUAAAAUGUAUGCUUAGAAUUAGCAAUCGUUGAUAAAUGUGUUAUAAUUUAUUUUAUAUUUUAAAUUAUUUAUUUUAUUUUAAGUUUUUAUAAAAAUAUUUAUUUUAAUUUUAAAAAUAAAGUAAUAAUGAUAGAAUUAGUAUAUAUUUAAUGUAAAAAUAAAUUUAUUUGAAAAGUUUAUGUAAAGAAUUCGGCAAAAUUUUAUGCCCGCCUGUUUAACAAAAACAUGUCUUUUUGAAGUUAAUUUAAAGUCUAACCUGCCCACUGAAAUUUUUAAAUGGCCGCAGUAUACUAACUGUGCAAAGGUAGCAUAAUCAUUAGUCUUUUAAUUGGAGGCUGGCAUGAAUGGUUGGACGAGGUAUAAACUGUUUCAUAUAAAAUUUUUAUAGAAUUUUAUUUUUUAGUCAAAAAGCUAAAAUGUAAUUAAAAGACGAGAAGACCCUAUAAAUCUUUAUAUUUAUUUAUAUUUUAAUUAUUAAGAAGUUUUUUAUUAUUAUAUAAAUAAAUAUUUUAUUGGGGUGAUAUUAAAAUUUAAUGAACUUUUAAUUUGUAAAAUCAUUAAUUUAUGAAUAAUUGAUCCGUCAAUGACGAUUAAAAAUUUAAGUUACUUUAGGGAUAACAGCGUAAUUUUUCUGGAGAGUUCAUAUCGAUAGAAAAGAUUGCGACCUCGAUGUUGGAUUAAGAUAUAAUUUUAGGUGUAGCCGCUUAAAUUUUAAGUCUGUUCGACUUUUAAAUUCUUACAUGAUCUGAGUUCAAACCGGCGUAAGCCAGGUUGGUUUCUAUCUUUAAUUAAUUAAAAUAUUUUAGUACGAAAGGACCAAAUAUUUGGAUAAUUAUAUUUUAUUUAAUGAAUAUAAAUAAUUU